GAUGAACGCUGGCGGCGUGCUUAACACAUGCAAGUCGAGCGAGAAGUUUUGAAAAGAUUCUUCGGAUGAAAUUUAAAAUGGAAAGCGGCGGACGGGUGAGUAACGCGUAGGCAACCUGCCCCAUACAAAGGGAUAGCAUUUGGAAACGAAUAUUAAUACCUUAUGAAACUUAACUAGUGCAUGCUAGGUAGGUCAAAGAUUUAUCGGUAUGGGAUGGGCCUGCGUCUGAUUAGCUAGUUGGUGAGGUAACGGCUCACCAAGGCGACGAUCAGUAGCCGACCUGAGAGGGUGAACGGCCACAUUGGAACUGAGACACGGGCCAAACUCCUACGGGAGGCAGCAGUGGGGAAUAUUGCACAAUGGGGGAAACCCUGAUGCAGCAACGCCGCGUGAACGAGGAAGGCCUUUGGGUCGGAAAGUUCUGUUCUAGGGGAGGAGAACUGACAGUAACCUAGGAGAAAGCCCCGGCUAACUCCGUG
RNAcentral lists this ribosomal RNA (479 nucleotides) under uncultured bacterium. RNAcentral describes it as "partial 16S ribosomal RNA". It matches the Rfam family "Bacterial small subunit ribosomal RNA", at positions 28 to 507 of the family's 1533-position model. The record is from RNAcentral.